AUAAUUGAAUGAUAGAAUCUCAUGUAUGCCAAGUAUCAACAAAACCACUCUCCAUAUCAUGUUAUCUAUGGGUCACCUUCAUUUUAACAUGUAUAGGAUAGAAUGUAAGUAUUAUCAUUUUAAAUAUGGAGUAAAGCACCAAAUCCAUAAUCUAAGCCCAAACCAUGUAUAUCAUAUUAAAAAGGAACUUCUAAAAUAGAGCUAGUCAACCCGAAACUUAAUUCUUAAGUUUGAACACAUAUAACCAAAGACUUCUAGAAAUUACUUCUGACCUUAUUCAUAACCCAAACUUCAUUUGAUCCGCACAUAUUAGCACUAGGAGACAUAAAGUACCAUAAAUACCGCACCAAGAUCACAUUCCUUUAAAACAAACCCGUCAGCUAUGAAACCACUAAGGAUUCCAUAGAAUUCCAUAGACUUCAGUACAGUAGGGAAAAAACAUAUCAUAGAAUAAAUCACCAAGUAUUAUGCUAUAUGUAAAAUAUACUUUCAGCCCCAUAUUUUCAAAAUUUCUCAUCUAUUGAUCAAUCCAUUCAUCU
This 539-nucleotide long non-coding RNA is filed under the name Setaria viridis. RNAcentral describes it as "long non-coding RNA (SVIR_LNC003500)". The record is from RNAcentral. Lineage: Eukaryota; Viridiplantae; Streptophyta; Magnoliopsida; Poales; Poaceae.